AAGAAUAUGUAAUUGGUAAAGUUAUUGAAUUGUUUAUGCUAUAAGAAAUCCCCCCUUCAAAUGAAUUUCAUUGUCACUCUUUGGGCAUAAAUUUCUAUCUGUGAUAAAAAUAUGUACUUGAUGACUACAUCACAUAUUUAUCAUAGCUCUUUGCUUAGAACUUCUAAUGCAUUCCAGUCUUCAACGUUUACAUUGUAGAUUGAUAAUCUACAUCCGAGUCUUUUGGUACCGCAAAUCCCGGCGGCUUUUCUCAUGCAUUUUAAUGGAAACGUACCUCAGCAGUUCCACGUUCGAACCUCAGCUGGGACUUGGUGUGUUAAUGUGGAAAAAAUUAAUGACAGGUUCUUUUUCCAAAAGGGUUGGAAGAAAUUUGUUCAUGACACUGGUUUAGAGAUUUGUGAAUUCUUUCUUUUUCGAUAUGCCUUUAAUUUGAGAUUCUACGUUGACAUAUAUGGAAGAAAUGGCUGCAAAAAAGAGUUUGUAACAGUCACUGGGAAAACCGAGAGACCACAUGAAAAGGGACAUGAUCAUGUAAUUCAGAGAAAGACCCCAAGAAAUCAUGAAAAUCAGAAUGUAGAUAAUCGAGGCCUAAAAGGCUCCACUUAUGGAACUAGGACUAGUCAAGUAACUACUCCCAUACAAGAUGAAGGCUAUGAAGCAACUGAUGAUACUGAUUCUCAAACAUUGAUGCAUCCGCGGUGGCUACAAGUACUGGGAAAGCUUAUUCCCGUCGGAGAGACAAUGUUUUUGGAUCUGAAAACCCUUUUUUCAAGGUUGAAAUGCGGGACACAUAUAUCCAUAGAUGUUACUUGACCGUGCCUUCUAAAUUUGUUAAUGCACAUCUCAUUGAGCAGCCUAGUACCAUUACCCUUCGGGUUUCAGAUGGGAGAACUUGGCGAGUGAAAGUGGGAUUUCAAACAAGAGGGUGCCAAUUCUUAGCUGGUUGGAUCACAUUUGUGCGAGACAAUGAGUUAGAUGUUGGCGAUGUGUGUGUCUUUGUCUUGAUUAACAAGUUUGAAUUUUUAUUUGAAGCUGUCUUUUACCACAAGGAAGAAGCUGAAAAUCAUCACAUCUCGUCACCAGCAGGUAAGUAAUCUGCUAAGUUUAUCAAUUUCUGUUCUCUGUCUGCCCUCUGCAUAACAUACACUUGUUUUCUUCUUUCUUUUUCGUUUUGGGAAGACAAUCCACUUCAGAGAGCCAACGGUUUCAAUUCUGCAAACCCUUUGUUCAAAGUUGUAAUGCCGCACUCGUCUAUCCAUCACCGUAAUAUGGUUGAGCUAUUUGAAGUUGCCUUUUACCGCAAGCCAGAAGCUGCGAAUAUUUGCGCCUUGUGACCAGGAAAGCGAUGACGGUGGAUCAAUUGGAGUCGAGAAACUGAAAGAGAAGCGUCGUAGUUGUAGAUGAAGCUUCACCUCAUCACACGCUUCUCCUGCAAAAGAAGCAGUGGAGGCCUCCAAUUACUCAUUUGUUUUUCUGAAUACCUUUUUGCUGUACAUGAUGAGAGGAUCCAUUGGACAAUGCAGUGACCCUUCUUUUUA
Molecule: long non-coding RNA, 1538 nt
Organism: Pyrus x bretschneideri (Chinese white pear)
Lineage: Eukaryota; Viridiplantae; Streptophyta; Magnoliopsida; Rosales; Rosaceae
Exons: 4
Source: RefSeq, a predicted model, not a curated record